Long non-coding RNA from Drosophila serrata, 179 nucleotides. The record is from RefSeq and is a predicted model, not a curated record. Lineage: Eukaryota; Metazoa; Arthropoda; Insecta; Diptera; Drosophilidae.
AAAAAAGAAUGGAUGGUCUCGUUGUUGAAAUCGAUUUUUUCACAGCUCUAAUGACAGCCAAAGUAUUCACAAGUGUUUUGCAAUAAUUGCUUUUCAAUCUGGACUCUUUUUAAACGGUAUCCAGAAUUUUUCUUCUUAAUUGAUUGACGAGACAACAGCCGGAAGGAAAGACUCGUAAC